Molecule: ribosomal RNA, 482 nt
Filed under: uncultured bacterium
Lineage: Bacteria
Description: partial 16S ribosomal RNA
Rfam family: Bacterial small subunit ribosomal RNA
Source: RNAcentral
AUUGAACGCUGGCGGCGUGCUUAACACAUGCAAGUCGAACGAUGAAGCCCAGCUUGCUGGGUGGAUUAGUGGCGAACGGGUGAGUAACACGUGAGUAACCUGCCCAUGACUCUGGGAUAAGCCUGGGAAACUGGGUCUAAUACCGGAUAGGAACGUCCACCGCAUGGUGGUUGUUGGAAAGAUUUAUCGGUCAUGGAUGGACUCGCGGCCUAUCAGCUUGUUGGUGAGGUAAUGGCUCACCAAGGCGACGACGGGUAGCCGGCCUGAGAGGGUGACCGGCCACACUGGGACUGAGACACGGCCCAGACUCCUACGGGAGGCAGCAGUGGGGAAUAUUGCACAAUGGGCGAAAGCCUGAUGCAGCGACGCCGCGUGAGGGAUGACGGCCUUCGGGUUGUAAACCUCUUUCAGUAGGGAAGAAGCGAAAGUGACGGUACCUGCAGAAGAAGCACCGGCUAACUACGUGCCAGCCGCCGCAGUAA